This 292-nucleotide ribosomal RNA is filed under the name uncultured microorganism. RNAcentral's name for it is "partial 16S ribosomal RNA". It matches the Rfam family "Bacterial small subunit ribosomal RNA", at positions 505 to 796 of the family's 1533-position model. The record is from RNAcentral.
GUGCCAGCAGCCGCGGUAAUACGGAGGGUCCGAGCGUUAAUCGGAAUUACUGGGCGUAAAGCGUGCGCAGGCGGUUUGUUAAGCCAGAUGUGAAAGCCCCGGGCUCAACCUGGGAAUUGCAUUUGGAACUGGCGAACUAGAGUCUUGUAGAGGGAGGUAGAAUUUCAGGUGUAGCGGUGAAAUGCGUAGAUAUCUGAAGGAAUACCGGUGGCGAAGGCGGCCUCCUGGACAAAGACUGACGCUCAUGCACGAAAGCGUGGGGAGCAAACAGGAUUAGAUACCCUGGUAGUCC